Molecule: ribosomal RNA, 163 nt
Filed under: Hepatozoon sp.
Lineage: Eukaryota; Apicomplexa; Hepatozoidae
Description: partial small subunit ribosomal RNA
Rfam family: Eukaryotic small subunit ribosomal RNA
Source: RNAcentral
CUAUCAGCUUUCGACGGUAAGGUAUUGGCUUACCGUGGCAGUGACGGUUAACGGGGAAUUAGGGUUCAAUUCCGGAGAGGGAGCCUGAGAAACGGCUACCACAUCUAAGGAAGGCAGCAGGCGCGCAAAUUACCCAAUUCUAACAGCAUAAGAGAGGUAGUGA